Molecule: ribosomal RNA, 698 nt
Filed under: uncultured Eubacterium sp.
Lineage: Bacteria; Bacillati; Bacillota; Clostridia; Eubacteriales; Eubacteriaceae
Description: bacterial SSU rRNA
Rfam family: Bacterial small subunit ribosomal RNA
Source: RNAcentral
UGCAAGUCGAACGAGAAAUUCCUUAUUGAACCUUCGGGGGAUAUAAGGGAUGGAAAGUGGCGAACGGGUGAGUAACGCGUGGGCAACCUGCCUCAUGGCGAGGGAUAGCCCCUGGAAACGGGGAGUAAAACCUCAUGACGCAUAAAGGUCGCAUGACCAUUAUGCCAAAACUCAGGUGCCAUGAGAUGGGCCCGCGUCCCAUUAGCUGGUUGGUGAGGUAACGGCCCACCAAGGCGACGAUGGGUAGCCGGUCUGAGAGGGCGAACGGCCACACUGGAACUGAGACACGGUCCAGACUCCUACGGGAGGCAGCAGUGGGGAAUAUUGCGCAAUGGGGGCAACCCUGACGCAGCAAUACCGCGUGAGUGAAGAAGGUUUUCGGAUCGUAAAGCUCUGUUAUUGGGGAAGAAGAAGUGACGGUACCCAAUGAGGAAGUCCCGGCUAACUACGUGCCAGCAGCCGCGGUAAUACGUAGGGGACAAGCGUUGUCCGGAAUCACUGGGCGUAAAGGGCGCGUAGGCGGUUUUUUAAGUCAGAUGUGAAAGGUACCGGCUCAACCGGUGACGUGCAUUUGAAACUGAAAGACUUGAGUACUGGAGAGGCAAGUGGAAUUCCUAGUGUAGCGGUGAAAUGCGUAGAUAUUAGGAGGAACACCGGUGGCGAAGGCGGCUUGCUGGACAGAUACUGACGCUGAGGUG